RNAcentral lists this unclassified non-coding RNA (2580 nucleotides) under Diabrotica virgifera virgifera (western corn rootworm). Its description in RNAcentral is "zinc finger protein 271-like". The record is from RNAcentral. Lineage: Eukaryota; Metazoa; Arthropoda; Insecta; Coleoptera; Chrysomelidae.
AGUUUAGUCAAGAAUUAAAGAGAAUGAACCGUAGAGAGAAUUGGCAUAGAGAAAUAAAAAAAAAUUCUCUUCUAUUUUUAUUUCUCUAUGCAUUAAGGCUAAGGCAUUAAGGAUAACGGCGAUAACAGUGCAUGUGCAUUGUGCAUGGUUACUGUUCGAGACUUCGAGUUUGUCUUGUCUUGAAUUCGACCGAUUGUGCUGUUUGUUUUUGUUUAUAAUUUAUGAAAACAAUGAAUUUUGAAUCAAAUAUGGAAAUAAAUCAAGAAGCUAGUGAGAAGAAAACUUUUAAAAUAAAAGUAGAAAACGAAGACACCUCUGUUGGUCCCUUGGAUGCUUUCAAAAUUGAAAUUACAGAAGAACCCAAGAGAGAACCCGCAUAUGACGCAUUUGGUUAUUUAGACUCAAAUGAAUUUCCGGUAAAAACUGAAGUAGAACAAGAUAAAUUUACACCCUUUGAAGAAAAGCAAACAACAGAUGAAGAAAGUUGUUGCCAGGAGGAAAACCAAAUGAAAAUUAUGGAGACGUUAUAUUCAUAUAAAAGAACAUAUACAGAUCAUCACAUUGAAGGAAAAAUGUUAAAUAAAAAUGGGAACGUUGAGACUGCUGGACAUAGAUCUUACAAAUGUGAAAUUUGUUUCAAGCAAUUUACUGCAAAAAGUAGUUUAGAAGCUCAUUUGAGAGUGCACACUGAAGAAAAACUGCACAAGUGUGAAACUUGUUUAAAACAGUUUAGUAAAGCAAGUAACUUCAGACUCCAUUUGAGAGUGCACACUGGAGAAAAACCGUUCAUGUGUGAAAUUUGUUUAAAACAGUUUAGUCAAGCAGGUUCUUUGAAAAAACACUUGAGAGUGCACACUGGAGAAAAACCGUACAAGUGUGAAAUUUGUUUGAAACAGUUUAGUGAAUCAUGUAGUUUGACAACACAUUUGAGAGUGCACACUGGAGAAACACCUUACAAGUGUGAAACUUGUUUUCAACAGUUUGGUCGAGCAGGUUCUUUGAAAAUACAUUUGAGAGUGCACACUGGAGAAAAACCGUUCAAAUGUGAAAUUUGUUUUAAACAGUUUUCUACACCAGAUAGUUUGAAAAAACAUUUGAGAGUGCACACUGGAGAAAAACCGUUCAAGUGUGAAAUUUGUUUUAAACAGUUUAGUGAAUCAGGUAGUCUGAAAACACAUUUGAGAGUGCACACUGGAGAAAAACCGUUCAAAUGUGAAAUUUGUUUUAAACAGUUUUCUACACCAGAUAGUUUGAAAAAACAUUUGAGAGUGCACACUGGUGAAAAACCGUUCAAGUGUGAAAUUUGUUUAAAGCAAUUUGUUACAACAAGUGAAAUGAAGAACCAUUUGGGAGUGCACACUGGAGAAAAACGAGAAAAACCGUACAAGUGUGAAAUUUGUUUUAAACAGUUUAGUAAAUCAAAUCAUUUGAAAAAACACUUGAGAGUGCACACUGGAGAAAAACCGUACAAAUGUGAAAUUUGUUUUAAACAGUUUAGUGAUUCAGGUGGUUUGAAAAAACAUUUGAGAGUGCACACUGGAGAAAAACCGUUCAAGUGUGAAACUUGUUUUCAACAGUUUGGUCGAGCAGGUUCUUUGAAAACACAUUUGAGAGUGCACACUGGAGAAAAACCGUUCAAGUGUGAAAUUUGUUUUAAACAGUUUAGUGCAUCAGGUAGUUUGAAAACACAUUUGAGAGUGCACACUGGUGAAAAACCGUUCAAGUGUGAAAUUUGUUUUAAACAGUUUAGUGCAUCAGGUAGUUUGAAAACACAUUUGAGAGUGCACACUGGUGAAAAACGGUUCAAGUGUGAAAUUUGUUUAAAGCAAUUUGUUACAACAAGUGAAAUGAAGAACCAUUUGGGAGUGCACACUGGAGAAAAACCGUACAAGUGUGAAAUUUGUUUUAAACAGUUUAGUAAAUCAGAUAAUUUGAAAACACAUUUGAGAGUGCACACUGGAGAUAAACCUUACCAGUGCGCUAUUUGUUUAAAGCAAUUUAGUGAAAAAAGUCAUUUGAAAGUACACUUAAGAGUGCACACUGGAGAAAAACCGCUCAAAUGUGAAAUUUGUUUUAAACAGUUUUCUACAGCAAGUAGUUUGAAACAUCAUUUGAAAUUUCACAAUGACACUGAAGUAAAACUUUAGGAGUGUGAAAUUUAUUUAAAACAAUUGAAUCGGUCAUUCCAAAAAGUGCAUAAGUCCACAAUUUUGAGACAUAACUUUUUGAGCGGAAUCGAUUCCUUUUAAGAUAAAUUCACGUUGUGUGCAAAAUGACACCAGUGUUUAUAGAAUAAUACGUCGAAAUAUUCUACCAAAAUUUAUUUUAUUUAUUUAUUUAUUAGACGGGAAACCCCCAUUACAAAGAAUAAUAUGUAGUACAUUUUUGAUUAAAGGCUAUAUAGCUUAGUCUAAAUAGCAUCCUAUUAAGAAAAGCUUAAAAGAUUCAUAUAGGUACAUAUAUACACAUACAAAAUCAACAAAAGGUUAUUUAAAUAAUAAAUCCAUUAGGUACGUAAGAUAUCACUAGUAAACUGGUACAUAUGUAAUAGCUAUAUAACAUUAAAAUGUUUCCAAAAGA